RNAcentral lists this ribosomal RNA (487 nucleotides) under uncultured bacterium. RNAcentral describes it as "partial 16S ribosomal RNA". It matches the Rfam family "Bacterial small subunit ribosomal RNA", at positions 28 to 523 of the family's 1533-position model. The record is from RNAcentral.
GACGAACGCUGGCGGCGUGCCUAACACAUGCAAGUCGAGCGGGGUUAUACGGAAGCUUGCUUCUGUAUAACUUAGCGGCGGACGGGUGAGUAACGCGUGAGUAACCUGCCCGUAAGACGGGGAUAACACAGAGAAAUCUGUGCUAAUACCCGAUGAAGAAAUUUUGCUGCAUGGCAGGAUUUUGAAAGAUUUAUCGCUUACGGAUGGACUCGCGUUCGAUUAGAUAGUUGGCAGGGUAACGGCCUACCAAGUCGACGAUCGAUAGCCGAACUGAGAGGUUGAUCGGCCACAUUGGGACUGAGACACGGCCCAGACUCCUACGGGAGGCAGCAGUGGGGAAUAUUGCGCAAUGGGGGGAACCCUGACGCAGCAACGCCGCGUGAAGGAAGAAGGUCUUCGGAUUGUAAACUUUUGUCGCAAAGGAAGAAAGAAAUGACGGUACUUUGUGAGAAAGCCACGGCUAACUACGUGCCAGCCGCCGCGGUAA